AUUUUGUUGGGGCGACAGAGAAAUAUUUAAAACUUUCUUUAAAUUUACAAGCCGAUAUUGUUAAGUAAGGAUAAAUUACCUGAGGGAUAACAGCAUAAUUCUACAGUUGAGUUUGUGACCUCGAUGUUGGACUAGGAAACUAACAGGCUAGCCGUUUGUUGUGUGGGUUCUGUUCGACUCUAAUUCCU
RNAcentral lists this ribosomal RNA (188 nucleotides) under Coryphella gracilis. RNAcentral's name for it is "Microchlamylla gracilis partial 16S ribosomal RNA". Lineage: Eukaryota; Metazoa; Mollusca; Gastropoda; Nudibranchia; Coryphellidae. The record is from RNAcentral.